GGAUAAUAGUUAACGAUAACAUCUAACUUGCACUUAGAAGGUACUAUACUUUAGUUUAUCUUA
This 63-nucleotide transfer RNA is filed under the name Xystrocera globosa. RNAcentral describes it as "tRNA-Ala". The record is from RNAcentral. Lineage: Eukaryota; Metazoa; Arthropoda; Insecta; Coleoptera; Cerambycidae.